RNAcentral lists this ribosomal RNA (399 nucleotides) under uncultured bacterium. RNAcentral's name for it is "partial 16S ribosomal RNA". It matches the Rfam family "Bacterial small subunit ribosomal RNA", at positions 338 to 734 of the family's 1533-position model. The record is from RNAcentral.
CCUACGGGUGGCUGCAGUGAGGAAUAUUGGUCAAUGGGCGCGAGCCUGAACCAGCCAAGUAGCGUGAAGGAUGACUGCCCUACGGGUUGUAAACUUCUUUUAUCAAGGAAUAAAGUGAGGCACGUGUGCCUGUUUGUGUGUACUUUAUGAAUAAGGAUCGGCUAACUCCGUGCCAGCAGCCGCGGUAAUACGGAGGAUCCGAGCGUUAUCCGGCUUUCUUGGGUUUAAAGGGAGCGUAGAUGGGUUGUUAAGUCAGUUGUGAAAGUUUGGGGCUCAACCGUAAGAGUGCCAUUGAUACUGGCAGUCUUGAGAACAGUAGAGGUAGGCGGAAUGCGUGGUGUAGCGGUGAAAUGCUUAGAUAUUACGAAGAACUCCGAUUGCGAAGGCAGCUUACUAAAC